Long non-coding RNA from Odocoileus virginianus texanus, 501 nucleotides. RefSeq lists it as uncharacterized. NCBI's taxonomy places the organism in Eukaryota, Metazoa, Chordata, Mammalia, Artiodactyla, Cervidae. The record is from RefSeq and is a predicted model, not a curated record.
AGCAAGCAACAAGAAGAGAUGGCCACGCAUAGGAAUACAUGGCCACCUGGAAAAUGCUAUAAUAAAAAUUGCUGAUUCUUCUAUGGUGGCUGAGGCAGAAUUUCUGGUGUCCAGUUUCAGAAAAGGACCAAUAUUUUUUAAUACAUGCUGCAUAAACUGGUUAUAUAAAGCAAGGCACGAGGCCGGAGGGCUCCCACUCCAAUUUGACAACACCAUCUCGUCUUCACACCACCUGUCACAUCUAUCAACAUUUUAACUAAUGUCAGAGUUCUUCUUUUGCUAAUGAGCUGCUAUCCAGGGAAGCACAUCUCUGCUCAGACUGCCAGCUACAGCAUAAUGAGCUAGAGUGAGAGGCAUCAUCUUCCUCCCAGAAGCCUCUCACUGCUGUAGAAGACCAUCGCUGCUCUUCUCUUCUGUUACAGACCCAAAUUUAGUCAUUUGAGGCCCUUCUAGGUGUGUUUUGCUUUGACAUAAUUAAAAAAAAUAAAAAACUUUCCUGCA